Molecule: ribosomal RNA, 253 nt
Filed under: uncultured bacterium
Lineage: Bacteria
Description: partial 16S ribosomal RNA
Rfam family: Bacterial small subunit ribosomal RNA
Source: RNAcentral
UACGUAGGGUGCGAGCGUUGUCCGGAAUUAUUGGGCGUAAAGGGCUCGUAGGCGGUUUGUCGCGUCGGGAGUGAAAACCUCGGGCUUAACUCGGGGCUUGCUUUCGAUACGGGCAGACUAGAGGUAUGCAGGGGAGAACGGAAUUCCUGGUGUAGCGGUGAAAUGCGCAGAUAUCAGGAGGAACACCGGUGGCGAAGGCGGUUCUCUGGGCAUGAUCUGACGCUGAGGAGCGAAAGUGUGGGAAGCGAACAGG